Molecule: ribosomal RNA, 468 nt
Filed under: uncultured bacterium
Lineage: Bacteria
Description: partial 16S ribosomal RNA
Rfam family: Bacterial small subunit ribosomal RNA
Source: RNAcentral
GACGAACGCUGGCGGCGUGCUUAAUACAUGCAAGUCGAACGGACAGGCCCUGCUCUUGUGGCGUGCUCGAGUGGCGAACGGGUGAGUAACACGCGUGUAUCCUGCCCUUGUAUUUCGGAUAACACUUGGAAACUGGGGCUCAUAUAGGAUAGGAGAUCCUGCAGCAUGGUGGGGGUUGGAAAGUUUCGGCGGUGGGGGCUGGUCUCGCAGCAUAUCCGCUUGAUGGUGAGGUAGUGGCGUACCAGGGCUUUGACGGGUAGCCGGCAUGGGCGGGGGGACGGCCACAGUGGGACUACGAGACGGACCAGACUGCUACGGGAGGCAGCAGUGGGGAAUAUUGCAGAGUGGGCGGAAGCCUGAUGCGGCAACGCCGGGUGCGGGAUGACGGCCUUCGGGGUGUAAACCGCUUUCUCCGGUAACGAAGCGUGAGUGACGGUAAUGGGUAAAGAAGCACCGGCUAACUACGUG